UAAUAAGGAGGCAGUGAUGAUGGAAAAGGUGGGAGCGGUGGCAGUGAUUUAUGGUAAUAAGGAGGUAGUGAUGAUGGAAAAGGUGGGAGCGGUGGCCGUGAUUUAUAGUAAUAAGGAGGUAGUGAUGAUGGAAAAGGUGGGGAUGCAAAAGUAUUAGGAUUGUAAGGCUCGUCUUCAGCAGCUACAUUAGCGGCAAUCAAGCACAAAGCCAAGACACAAAUCAGGUGAGGCCAAAAAUUGGCCAUUUCCAGAACACGAGAAAAUUUCACUCCUACAACUCAAGAACUUCUAUUUCUUAGAACAGAAGGGAUUUUGUGAAUGAUGCUUCAAGGUAGAGGCUCAGAGUUUAUAUAGUCAUCCUUUCCAUAAUUCUUUCAUUUGUUUAAUUAGUAGUUGUUGAAGCCUCCAAUCUUUAACAAGUCUACAACUAAAUGGUAUUCCCCUAUUUUCUAUGUGUUACCUGCACAUCUGUCCAUGAAAAGUCAAGAAGAUUAGUAAACAUAUAUAUACAAGAGUGCAUUUCAGUUUUGGUUGUUGGGAGCCUAGAAGCUUCCCCAUAUAUUAUGUCAAAUGUGACUGCCAUCUUUAAGAAUUUACCAUGGAAAACUCAACAUAAAAUAUUACUAUGAAGCAUGUCUACCAAGCAAAAAGCUAGGGCUAUUAGAUCUCCUUCUACCAUAACUUCCUGUUUUUCGAAAAUUUGUCAUACAUUGAAACCUUUUUCAAAACAACAAAAAGAUUUAAUAUUGCAAAUAAUUUACGGGCAUUAAUUAGGAAGGUAAUGCACUAAUAAACCUAAAAUCAAUGCCAAUUUUUCUAGAAAGGCAUCGUUGUCUUUCAAUAACUUCUUAAGCUAGCUAUUUAAUAUUAUAGGACGACUAGGUCUAUGAAUGAGAUCAUCAUAUGCAUUUUCAAUAACAAGUAAUGGACCCUUGUUUUUCCAUUGGAUUUGAGUAACGAUGAAAGUUCUUUAGGAAAAGGAAAGAAACAUAAUUAAUCUCUUAAAUUUCUUCUUCAUGCAUGUUGCUAGAUAAAGGAUUGAUGGGGCAAGCAACAAAGGGAGAUUAUUUAAAGAGAUUUUGUAAUAACUACUUUGGAAUUGGGAGUUGUAGAAAGUGGAAGAGAAAAUGUUCAAGGAAUAGUUCAUUCCUCAAAUGUUCAUCCAUUCCUUUGUAUAGGGUUUUGCCUUUAAAUAUCAACAAAACUGCUCAAGGUGUAUUUGAUAGUAAUUUUAGAAAGUAUUUUUAACCUUUAUAAUACUUAAAAAAAAAAAAAAUUGUUAAGUGUCAAAAAUAUUAAAAACACAUCUUAAAAUCACUACUAAACGGACUCUUAAAAGUUCAUAUGAAAUUAAUCAAAUUAGAUAAGGACAGGUUCUAACCUGUGGACAUAUAUGUAGAACUAAGGUCUUAGAACCGGUGAUGAUGAGAUUGCAAUCACAACUCACAACCAAAUAUCAUACAUACUUGAAAGAAACAAAUUGGAAGGAAAUCUAUUUCAAUAUGAAUUAUAAAGUGUUUUUGUGGUUAAUAUAAAAAAUAAUGACACUACAUGCAACUUACAUAUGUACUUGCUUUAUAUGCUAACGACAUUAUUUAUAUGCUAGAUAUUAACUAGACACCAUCAAUCAAGUCUAUAUAUAUAUAUAUAUUAUUAUUUAUAUCUUUAUACUUUGAUCUCAUUUGUUUAUUUCUUCGUUCAACAACACAAAUCUCAUCAUGCAUGUUUAAUGAUCCGGAUUUAGAGCUCAAUAGAUAUCACUAGGGUAGCUUAGGAUUUUCUUACCUAAAAUUACUAUAAGAAGUACUCAAGGAAAAAGAAAAUGAAUGAUCUAAAAGUGGAUCCCUUGCAACACUUCAAGGAGUCGAGAUUUGUACUUGGUUGGGCUUGGAAUUCUAAUAAUCCUAGUUGGCUGGGCACUUGGCUUUCUAAUAAUUCUAGUUGUCGCAUUAACGGAAACUGUUUGUAACUCAACAGUAUGGACAAUUGAAAUGUUUAUGGAGUAUUGUUAAUCAAAGCUGCCAUGGGAAAAUCUUUUGUUUGAAGCCCUUCACUGGAAUAUUCAAUAAAUAUAGCUAGCGCCACUUUCCCUCAGAAAUAAUUCCCCCCAAUACCUUAAAUGGUAUGCUUAAUUUCUUAUUCACUUUUACACACCUAUUCAUCUUAAUUACCAAAUGCACCCACUUUCUGUUUUUUUUUUCUUUUAACUCAUUAAUGUUUUAAAAAAAAUUGGUAUUAAUCAAAUAUUAAUUUUAAAAUUUUUAAUUAUUUUAAAAAAUUAUCAUAUCGGUUAAGAAAUUUAAUGCAUUAGCUCUCACUUGAUUUGAAAUAUGUUUGUCUAAUGAUAGAACUUGAAAAUUAUAUAGUUACACGCACAUAAAAAAUUGGCCAAGCCAUUGUAGACCGGUUUUGUUCCAACAAAUUCUAGUAUUAAUUGGCUCGAAUCAAGUUCUAAAUGAUUUUUAAAAUUUAUUAAACUUAUUAAGGAAUCCAAUGCAUCAAAUUGGAUUUAGAAGAUGACACAUCUCAAAGCAAAACAAUAGGGAAAGGUAUAAUAAAUCACAAAUUCAAUGUUAUAAAUAUCAAAAAUUAAACUGGAAUAAUCUCAAAUGACAAAAAUUAAGAAGAUUCUAUAGAUAAGGAAAUAAAAGCAAUAACAAAACAUAAUACAUUGAAACUAAAAUCCUUUCCAAAAGAGAAAAAGGCAAUUGGAGGAAAAUGGGUAAACAAUGAGUCAAAUCCUAUUUUUUGAAAACAACCAAAGGUUUAUAAAAUAAUAAUAAAUAAAUAAAUAAAAUGAAAUAAAAUAAAAUAAAUAAGAUCUCCUUUAAGACUAAAUGAUUCCAUUGAAUUGAGUAUGAUUGUGUGUGUGAUAGCAUCAACAGUACUAAGAAUAUCAAUGACCUUUUGGCAACCAACCUUCAAAAUAUAAAGGGGAAAGAUGUGCAAAGAAGAAUGUAAAAGGAGAAAUAUUAGAGAGACACAAAGUAAGAUUAGUGGUUAAGGGUUACAAGCAUCAACUUGUAAACAACAAAUUAGCAAUUGCACUAUCAAAAAAUCCAAUUUUAUAUGUUUGAAACAAGAUAUCAAUACAAAAUAUCAUUUUAUUAGAGAGUGCAUAAUGAAGAAGAAAGUAUAAUUAAAUUUGCAAAAUCUCAAGAUUAAAUUGCAAAUAUUUUUACCAAACCUCUCAAGUUUAAAAAUUUUAGAAAGUUAAGUAUAUUACUUGGAGUUACAAAUAAAGUUUAAGGGGGAUAUUGGAAAGUUAAACUUGAUUUAGAAAGUUUCCAAAACUUAGAACUAGAUUUAGUCUCCACAAUUCAAAGAUAAUAUUUUAUUUUCAAUGGUUGUUUAUAUUUGAGUAGUCAAGUCCUAGAAGGUUAAUUUCUAUAUUUUGUUAUUAGAAUUUUCUAUUUUGUUAAGUGUAAAUAUCUAUAAAUAAGAUUUUAUGUAAUAUUUGAAUAAGAAAGUGUGAAGAUGAAUCUCACCUAUGGAUAACAGCUAGAGGGGGCUAAAUAGAUGUUUUUUAAAACAACUUAAGAUGGUAUCUCACAAAUGCUUACAAAUCCCUUAUUUUUCUCAAAUGUUUUGGUUUGUUUUUUUUUAUCUUAUUAAAAAAAAAACAAAUCAUAAGUAAUAAUGGAUGCAUCAACACUCUCUCAUUAAGUGAGUCAAUGCAAAUCACAUACAAAUGAAUCAACACUCCUCAACUAUAAUGUAUAAGACAUUAUAUGCAUCGACACAAAUCCCAUUUUCGCAUGUCCCAUGACAUUAAUAUCAAAAACUGAAAUAUACCAUAUUCUAUCAAAGCUUCAAUGGUUUAAUUUAAGCUCAUAUCUCAAUUAAACAACAAAAUAAUUCAAUAGAAAUAUCAUAAGCUAAUGAAAAACUAAUUAAAAGAUGAGGUAGAAUAGACAUAUAAGGGAAGCAGCCUAAAAUCAUGCCUAUCAUUCAAUUCUAUAUUCUGUCAUAUAGCUGUAUAUUGUAACAGUAGCAUAGAUUUAGCCUUACCGUUUCUAAAUUUGAAUCAUAUAGUUGUAUAUUGUAACGGUAGCAUCCUUAUCGUGUAUAUGUUUCUUAAACUAGCUUCUUAAUCACUUUAUAUAAUAGAGUUUCCAUCAAUAAAAUGAGUUGGAAAUUCUUCAUUGAAACUACGACAAUAUUUUUUUCUUUAUAUGGUAUCAGAGCACUGAUCUCAAAUGAGCCAUCGAUCCAAGUUAUCACCAUGCCUUCCUCCUCUGAUCAAACUCCAAACUUUAAUCUCAAUACUCAACUUCCAUCUGCAGUCGAUAAACCCCUAAUUGCUCUCAAUAUCACAACCCAAAUCAAUGAAAAAUUAACUCCCUCCACAUUUUCUCAAUGGUGUGCUCAAUUUGAAGCACUCAUUAUUGGUUACGAUUUACUCAACUAUGUUGAAGGCACCAUUCGGUGCCCUUCCUCUACUGCUACUCCUACUGAUGAGUUGCACAAAACCCAUUGGGUCCGAUAGGAUAAACUUAUCUUGAGUGCUAUUCUAGCCUCCACAUCUUCUUCAAUCACACCACUCAUUGCUACGUCAAAGACCUCCCAUGAAGCUUGGAAAAAAUUAAAACCUCUAUAUGCUACCCGAUCAAGAACACAUGCUAUGCAAUUAAAGGAGGAACUCACCUUAAUCCAGCGAGGAGAUCGGUCGAUUAUAGAAUGCAUCCAUCCUCUAAAGUCCUUGGCCAAUGAAAUAACCAUUAUUGAUCAUUCAAUUUCGGAUGAUGACCUAACCCUUUGUGUGUUGAAUGGCUUAGGUCUAGAUUUUCGAGAGAUUGUUGUGCAUAUCUGAGCUCGAGAAUCAUCACUGGCUUUUGAGGAGUUGCAUGAUCUUUUGGUUGGACACGAGGCAUACUUAUGACGCAUAGGAGUUGCGAUGCAGAACCUAGUUGCUUCUGCAAAUUUCAUAAAGAUGACGAAGUAGUCUCCACAAUGAGGAAGUCACCCGUGGUCUUUCAAGCAAACUAGCUUUCACCAUGAGCCUCGAGGUUCUCAACAAAGCUGCAACUCAAAUGGAGCCCAACGUGAUGGAUGUCGCUCCAACAAUAACUCUAGGCGACCCAACAACUCCAAUUGGUGUUACCAGCCCAAAUGUCAAAUUUAUGACCAAUUGGGCCACACUGCAAAGUUCUGUCCUCAACUCCAUUCAUAGAAUGCCUCCAUCAAUUGUGCUGCAAUCUCUACUGGCAAGGACAAAAAUUGGUUACUUGAUUCGACUAUUUCUCAUAAUAUCACGGGUGAUCUUUCCAACUUAUCUAUUCACUCCGAAUAUGAUGGAAUUGACAAAGUAAUUCUCAGUAAUGGUUCAAGUUUGGUUGUCUCACACAUCGGUUUUUUGGAUUUACACUCCCCUCAUCGAAAUUUUACAUUGCAUGAUACUCUUUGUGUUCCAAAUCUUUGCAGAAAUUUAAUUUCCGUUCAUCAUCUCACCAAACAAAACAAUGUCUUGGUUGAAUUUCACCAUUUUCAUUUUCUUGUGAAGAACAAGAUCACGGGGGCAAUCCUACUAAGAAGAGCAUGUAACAAUGGCAUCUACACUUUUCCGACAUCAAUGGUGGCAUAAAAAAAUAUUGCUAAUGUGCAUGAACACAGAUGGAUGGCACAAGCGUCUUGGGAUUCCUUCUACUAAAAUUGCCCAUCAUCUUGUCAAUAAAUUUUCUCUUCCUAUGUCCUUGAACAAAAAGUUUAUCUUCAUUAUGUUCUUCAUGUUCUAUUAAUAAAGCACAUCAACAACCACUUUGUGUCACUAGUCUCCAAAGUCAUGAGCCACUUGACCUUAUUUACACGGAUGUGUGGGGUCCCGCUAGUUAUACUGGAAUUGAUGGAUCACGAUAUUACCUUAUUUUUGUUGAUCAUUAUACAAAAUAUAUAUGAUUUUAUCCAAUGGUCACAAAAUCCAAUGUUUCUAAUAUUUUCCCGCAUUUCAAAAAGUUUGUUGAAACUUGUUUUUAAAAAUCUAUUAAAACACUUUACUUCAAAAAUGGUGGUGAGUUUAUCGCUUUAAAAUCUUAUUUAUUACUUCAUGGCAUAACUCACUACACCACUGCUCCACACACUCAACAACAAAAUGGUGUCUUUGAACGUUAUCACUGUCAUCUCGUUGAAACGAACCUUACACUUCUUCAUGAUGCAAAUCUUGCUUUCUCAUAUUGGCCCUAUGCUUUUCAAACAACUUCUUAUCUCAUAAAUAAACAACCAAUGCCUUUCCUCCAAGAAAAAAAUACCUUUUGAAGCCCUUUUUGGUCAACCACCCAAUUACUUGAAAUUAAAAAAAUUUGGGUGCAUUUGUUAGCCCCUCACACGAGCCUAUAAUUCAAAUAAAAUGCAGCCCAAAUCCAAAGUCUGCAUUUUUCUCGGUUAUUCACCAACCCAAAACGCAUACAAGUGUUUUGAACCUCAAACAAAAAAUUCUUUCUCUCACGGCAUGUGUUAUUUGAUGAAAAUCUAACAUAUUCCAGUCUAUCCUAAACUGCGUCUUCCAUAACAACCCAACCCACUCGAGAAUCUCACAUUUUUUUUCAUUUUUUCUUCUUCAAUUCUCAGCAGGCUGUCGUGUCUCCAUCACAGUUGUCCGGUACACCUAUCUCAUCGUUGUCUCCGGAAGGUCCGCCUACCAUUGUUGCGUCUUCCUUAGGUGAUUUCGGACCCUCUGCUCCUUUCUUUCAUGAUUGCUUGCAAACCCUAGAUCACAACACCACCCACUUGAAUUUUCCUUUACAUGACACUCAGACUGGUCCUUCUUUAAAUUUGCAAUCACGCUCUCAUGAUCAGCAUCUAGGUCUAGCUAAUACUUCCAAUUUUCCAACCCCUACCGAAACCAAUAAUUUUCCCCAACGCACUCAUACCAUGACCAUAAGAUCAAUGUACCAAAUCUUCAAACCCAAACAACUCCACACUGUGUCAAAAUAUCCUCUCUCCUCGACCAUUGAACCAACCAAUGUGAGCCAAGCCAUUUCUCAACCUCAUUGGCGUGAGGUCAUGUCUAAUGAGCUUACUGCUCUAAUGAAACAUAGGACUUGGGACAUAGUUUUACCACCUUCAAACUGUAAACCCGUGGGUUGUAAAUGGGUAUUUUGAGUAAAAAGAAAAGCUGAUGGGUCAGUGGACAGGUUCAAAGUCUGUCUAGUUGCUAAGGGCUAUAAUCAACGUCUUGGUGUUGAUUACAAAGACACUUUUAGUCUUGUCAUCAAACCAACAACUAUUAGAUUUGUCCUAUCUAUUGUAGUCAUGAAUGGAUGGGUUUUGAGGCAACUGAAUAUCAACAAUGCUUUUCUAAAUGGUGAAUUAUCUGAGACUGUGUUUAUGGCAUAACCCCCAGGGUUCAAAGAUUUGUCCAAACCUAAUCAUGUUUGCAAGUUAAAAAAAUGCCAUCUAUGGGCUUAAAUAAGCCCCGCGAGCUUGGUACACAAUGCUAAAAAAUGCCAUUCUUCAGUUGGGUUUUCAUAAUUCCAAAGUGGAUUCCUCUCUCUUCAUUUACAACCAUGGUUCCAAUCUUUAUUAUUUCUACAGGGAAUAAUUUCAUACUUAUGGCCACUAUUAUGAAGCAGCUGGGUGACAUGUUUUCUCUCAAAGAUAUGGGUUCUCUUCAUUUUUUCUUAGGAAUUGAAGUAAUUCCUACUCGGGCAGGAUUAUUCCUCUCACAACAUAAAUAUGUUCAUGAACUUUUAGCCCACACCAGUAUGAGUAGUGCAAAAGAUGUCUCCAUACCUCUCUCUACCACUCAAUCUCUUCAACUGGUUGAUGGCAUUGUUGCUGUGGACAACUCAGAGUUCUGUAAAAUCAUUGGCAGCCUUCAAUACCUUUCUUUGACGCAUCCAGAUAUCUCAUUUGCAGUAAAAAAAACUCUCGCAAUUUAUGCACAAGCCGACUACAAAUCACUGGACAGAAACCAAACGACUCAUUCGAUACUUAAAACAAACCAUUUUUUUAUGGUAUUCAAAUCAACAAAGCUGGAACUCCAGUAUUAAGAACAUACUCAGAUGUAGAUUGGGCUGGAAAUGUGGACGACUGCACGUCCACCUCUGCUUCUAUCAAUUUUUUGGGAUCUAACCAAAUUUCUUGGAGCUCAAAGAAACAAAGAGCAGUUGCAAGAUCCUCAAUAGAAGUUGAAUACCGAGACUAGCAACUGCGGCUUCCGAGACAAUGUGGAUGUCUACUCUCUUCAAAGAACUAGCAUUUCCAAUCAAAGAAUCUCCCCAAUUGUUAUGUGACAACCUUGGAGCCACACAUCUCAGUUUUAACUCGGUUAAUCAUUCACGCAUGAAACACAUUCAAAUUGACCUUCACUUUGUGCGUGACUUAGUGCAAAAAGGAAGCAUCCAAGUCAGCCAUGUACAUACUCAAGACCAAUUAGCUUAUCUGUUAGCAAAGUCGUUGUCCAAACAACGCACAGAAUUGUUACGCAACAACAUUGUCCUUACCGAUGGAAGCCCUAUCUUGCAGGGGUGUAUAAGGGAAACAUCCUAAAAUCAUGCCUAUCAUUCAAUUCUAUAUUCUGUCAUAUAGUUGUAUAUUGUAACAGUAGCAUCCUUACCGUGUAUAAGUUUCCUAAACUAGCUUCUCAAUCACUCUAUAUAACAGAGUUUCUAUCAAUAAAAUGAGUGGGAAAUUCUUCAUUGAAACUACGACAAUAUUUGUUUCUCUAUAAGAGAAACGGUGACACCAAUAUUUUAGCAUGGAAAACCUAAAAAAAGGAGAAAAAACCAUAGACCUCUAGCGAUCAAAUCAUUCACCAUGAAGAAAAUUAACUAAGUACAAGGAUUUACCUAACCCAAACUUUCAAUCCUCUCUUGGUCCACUUGCCUAAAAUCUUCAGACUUUAGCAACCCACUUUCUUCUUCUAGAACACACUUCAAAUCCAUACUAAGUUUGAUCUUGACCUCUUCUUAAAUCCACAUAAGAAGAUAUUUGAGUUUUUACCCCAAAUAAGAUGAAUAUAAGCGUAAAGAUGAAACUCACACUGAAUCAACCUAUUUUGAAAGAAAUUUUUUCACUUAAAAAUGAAUUUCAACUCAAACCCAUAAAAUUUUCAUUCAAACCAAACACCUCAAAAACAGGUAAAAGAAUAUGAAGCUCAAGAGAGGCCACCUAUCUCUUUCAGCCCGCCCUUCCUCUUAUAGAAAUAGAGCUUAAAUAUUAGGGUUUUAAAACCCAUUAAACGGAUGAGAUUUGUUUGGAAAAUAAUGAAGAUUCAUAGUGUGAUCGAAACCUGAUCACAAGACUGAAAAAAUCUGGGUUCAACAAAAACUGUUACCCUUCAGUUUUAUGUUGUGGUUGAGUACUACUCGAUAAUAGUGAGUGAUAUCAUUUAUGGAGGACCAUCACAUGAUGGUCCAAAUGAGAAGUAGAUAUGAUACUAAAAAUUGAUGUAAGGUAAUGUCCCGUCCCAAGACCCACUCCAAGGGCAUGAAGGUCAUUUCACACCUCAAACCCAAAGGCUUAAAGUGUAACCUGACCCAAACAAUUAUCUUAUAACUGGAAGUUACCAAUUACCAAAUACCUGUUUAGAGUAGCAAAAUAAAAUUCUAAAAUCUUCAAAACUUAACUUUAAAACUAAGCAUCCAUCAACCAAAAUCCAUUUUCCAAAUAAAUUGCAAACUCAAACAAUUCAAGUGCUAACAAAAAUUUUCAUAAUCUCCAAAUCUCAACUUCAAACUAUCAAAAAAAAUUUAAAAGUUCAAUAUCUAAAUAGCUUCCAAAAACCAAAUAAUCCAAAUGAACAUAAACUUAUAAGCUAACAAUGUCCAAAAAUAACAUCCUAAGCAAAAUCCUAAUGAUGACCAUUCCCCGACCUAGCCAUCACUCAUCGCCCGAACUAAGUGUACCUGAAAAAUUAUCAACAAAAGAGAAUGAGCUCAAAGCCCAAUAAGGAACAUUAUUAUAGUCCAUGGAUCAAAUAUUUCAAGUUCACUUGUAAAAUAGGAGAUAUUAUAACUAAUUAUUUUCAUAAACCUUUGAGUCAGUUUUGUCAAUACAUUCAAAACUUUUAAUUGAACACUUUCAUUUCUGAUUCAAACAUUUUCAUAUCAAAUUCAGUCAAAACAUUCAAAUCAUUUAUUUACUUUGGUCAUCAAACAUUAAAUGAUGUCCAAUUAGGUGAGACUUUUCAAAUAAGUGGCUAGCCUCAAAUUGUUCAUUUAAGGUGGACGAAACCAAACACUACUAGUACUAGUAACCUCUAACCAAACCCCUAGAGGUUGGGGUCCAAAUCAAUUACAUUCCCCACCAAGAAAUGUAAAUGUCAACUAUUAUAUUUCGUCGACAAGGGUCAAACAAACCAAAAUCAAACACUUAUUUCAAUUAUUCAAAUUUGCAAAACAUAAUAUCUCCAUAUUUCUCUGUUGUGAACAAAAUGUAAGGUUCUAACAUACUUUUCAUGCAAAACAUAUUUGAUUCAUGCAUAAAACGAAUAAUAACUCAAAGCGUUUCCAAAUGAUGUAUAUAAAAAUUUGUUUCUAAAAAAAAAAAAAAACCUGCAUUAAUUUCCCUUACCUCAAAAGAAGUCUUCAAAAACUUAGGAGAAAAAUAAUUCUUAAAAAUCUACUCCUCACCUAACAAAGUAUAAGAGAAAUAACCAUUAUUAUUUAUCUAAAAUUAUAGGUUUGACAAUCCUAAAAGGUAUUCAAAUUAAUGUUUUUAAUUAUAAAAGAUAAUUUAAUCUAUUCCUAUUUUAGAAAAAUUAAUAAAUUUCUAAUUCAUAUAAAACUUAAAUUUUAUUUUCAAUUUAUUUCUUAGGAUACAACAUAAUUUAAUUAAACUACAAUUUAUUCUACUAAUUAAAUUUUAUGCCACUUAUUAACUUACACUCAUCAUUAGUAUAAUAAUAUUGAUAACUUCUAUUCUCUUUCUUUCAAUUUUUUUUUUCCACUAAACAUAAAUUGUAACCCUAACAAUUCUCCAUUAUUGCUAACAUAAUAAUGUAAAGAUAUUUAUUAACCACCAAACACCAUCCGUACACAUCUUCCUUUAUUAUUAAUAUUACUAUUUUUUUUCUUUUAAAAAAAAUAAAAAAUUCCUCCAGUGCAAGUGUGUUCUUUUUUUUUCCCCUAAUGUUUUCUAAUCCCUUAACCCACAUAUAAUAAUAUAUUUAUUUACUCAUUUAUUUAUUUAUUUUUAAAAAAAUCAUUACUUAGAUCUAUUCAUCUAAAAAAUUUUGAAUUUCCCUUAUUUCAACAAUAGAACAAUCUAUAUUCCCAAUUUCAAUAUUUUGACCUAAAAGUUUUAAAUAGGUUAAGUCUAGCCUAAAUUGAAAUCUUUCAAAGAAAUUUUUUUUUUUUUCAAAAACUUAAGAUUUCCCAAUUUUUAAUAAUAAAACCACCAAUAAUCCUAAAUUUCUAAUAUUUUGAUAUUAAAACGAAUUAAAAAAAAAACUAACCCUAAUCUAAAUUAAAAAAAUAAAAUUCAAAGAAUAACUAACGUGUUUAGAACUAACUAUUGAAUAUAAUAUAUUAAUUUAAGAUUAGAAUCUUACCUAGAAAAAAAACCUGAAUUUCAACUUUAAAUCUCUAACCCUUGAGCCCUACGAACUCCAAUUCUCUACUUCUAGUUAAUAGGGUUUUCUGAACGAAGAAGAAAAGAGGAAAAAUCCAAUUUAUACCUAGGAUUUUUAAUUGUAAAAUGACUCUUUCACCCUCAAUGAAUUUAAUUAAUUAUUUAAUUACUUUAUAAAUUACUAGUUUGCCCCUAGAUUAAAUUUUGGGGUGUUACAGGUAAUCAAGUAAAAGUUAACGAGUUGGAUCGAAACAGGUUCUGACUUUCUGUAGCUGCAUUUAGAAAUGAAGGUUUUACAGGUAAAGAUGUUUCAGACACUUCUUCACCAAAACCCAUGUGUAAAAGGAACAGAUUGAACCGAAAGCUACUUCAUUAUGGUUUUGUGGAGAGUUGCUUUUCUUGAGAAGUUCUAUAUAGGCUUUCAGUUACUUGUGACCUAUUGUGCUUCAAAUCAAUCAAUUUGAUUUUCGUGCCAGAAUGAAAGCAUUGAUUAUACUAGAAGUUCAUGUUCAAGUUUAAAGUAAAGUAAAUAUGCGAAGACUGUUUUUUGUUAUCAAACCUAAUUCCCUUUUUUUUCCUCCAUUUUUUUUUUUCUCAGCUUCUGAGUUCAUGAAAUUACAGUUACAUGGAAUUUGGCCCACAGGAAAUCUCUUUUAGAAAAUCUUAUCCGGUUUACUUCACAAUUUUUUUUUUAAAUGUGAAAAUUAAGAACAAUUGCAUGCUGUUGAUCAAGACAUCCAUGUUUAGCAAUUCAUCCUCUCAUUGAAAUAAAUGUAAAUGUUCCAUUUAUUUAAAAGUUUGCGAAUCUUAAGUAGAUGGCAAACAGAUCAAUAAGGUCCAAUAACAGAACAAAUUAAUGGCUAGUAUAUACUGAAAGAGAACUCAAGGGUAUAAAAUAAAAACAAAAUGAUCCAAACUGCAAAGCAUCAUGGCCAUGGCAAGGUCCUUAUUGUUGAACUGGAUGUCUUUCUUUGAUGUUAAUAGUCGUUGUACCCCCAAAAGAUCUUCCUGUUCCUUCUGAUAUCAAUUAUUCAUUCUAUCUAUCCUAUAAUCUGCACGGAAAACAGAGGAAUGUUAAAUACUGUAUGAAUGAUGAAAAUGAGAAAUGUGGUCUGUAUUAUUAUAUAUACUUACAUGAAACUAGAAGAGGCAAUUCAUUUAGUAAUAUGGUGGAGGAGGUGAAGGAGAGGAAGGGGGUGGUGACUUGUGGUGGUAGACUGGUGGUUGGGAUGAUGGAGAAGGUAGUGGUGGGGACUUAUAGUAAUAAGGAGGUUGAGGAGAUGGUGAUGGAGGAGGAGGUAAUUUAUAGUCGUAGUGAGGAGGGGGUGAUGGUGAAGGUAGUGGUGGUGACUUGUAGUAAUACCACGGAGGAAGAGAUGGAGAGGGAGCCAGAGGUGACAUCGGUGGUAGUGAUUUAUAGUAAUAAGGAGGCAGUGAUGAUGGAAAAGGUGGGAGCGGUGGCAGUGAUGAUGGAAAAGGUGGGAGCGGUGGCCGUGAUUUAUAGUAAUAAGGAGGUAGUGAUGAUGGAAAAGGUGGGGAUGCAAAAGUAUUAGGAUUGUGAG
This 13073-nucleotide long non-coding RNA is filed under the name Vitis vinifera (wine grape). RNAcentral's name for it is "long non-coding RNA (VVIN_LNC001688)". Lineage: Eukaryota; Viridiplantae; Streptophyta; Magnoliopsida; Vitales; Vitaceae. The record is from RNAcentral.